UGGCGAACGGGUGAGUAACACGUGAGUAACCUGCCCCAGACUCUGGGAUAAGCACUGGAAACGGUGUCUAAUACCGGAUACGAGCUUCAGCCGCAUGGCUAGGAGUUGGAAAGAAUUUCGGUCUGGGAUGGACUCGCGGCCUAUCAGCUAGUUGGUGAGGUAAUGGCUCACCAAGGCGACGACGGGUAGCCGGCCUGAGAGGGUGACCGGCCACACUGGGACUGAGACACGGCCCAGACUCCUACGGGAGGCAGCAGUGGGGAAUAUUGCACAAUGGGCGCAAGCCUGAUGCAGCAACGCCGCGUGAGGGACGACGGCCUUCGGGUUGUAAACCUCUUUUAGUAGGGAAGAAGCGAAAGUGACGGUACCUGCAGAAAAAGCACCGGCUAACUACGUGCCAGCAGCCGCGGUAAUACGUAGGGUGCAAGCGUUAUCCGGAAUUAUUGGGCGUAAAGAGCUCGUAGGCGGUUUGUCGCGUCUGCUGUGAAAACUGGAGGCUCAACCUCCAGCCUGCAGUGGGUAC
Molecule: ribosomal RNA, 523 nt
Filed under: uncultured Salinibacterium sp.
Lineage: Bacteria; Bacillati; Actinomycetota; Actinomycetes; Micrococcales; Microbacteriaceae
Description: bacterial SSU rRNA
Rfam family: Bacterial small subunit ribosomal RNA
Source: RNAcentral